RNAcentral lists this ribosomal RNA (495 nucleotides) under uncultured bacterium. RNAcentral's name for it is "partial 16S ribosomal RNA". It matches the Rfam family "Bacterial small subunit ribosomal RNA", at positions 28 to 507 of the family's 1533-position model. The record is from RNAcentral.
GACGAACGCUGGCGGCGUGCCUAAUACAUGCAAGUAGAACGCUCAAGGAGGAGCUUGCUUCUCUUGAUGAGUUGCGCACGGGUGAGUAACGCGUAUGUAACCCGCCUGUUAGCGGGGGAUAACUAUUGGAAACGCUAGCUAAUACCGCAUAAUAGUUGAUGUUGCAUGACAUUUGCUUAAAAGGUGCAAUUUCAUCACUACCAGAUGGACCUGCGUUGUAUUAGCUAGUUGGUGGUGUAACGGCUCAACAAGGCGACGAUUCUUAGCCGACAUUGUGGGGGGGACGGCCAACAUGGGAAUGGAGCACGGGCCAGAACCCUACGGGGGGCAGCAGGAGGGGAUCUUCGGCAAUGGGGGGAAGUCUGAACGAGGAACGCCGCGGGAGUGAAGAAAGUUUUCGGAUCGUAAAGAUCUGUUGUAAGAGAAGAAAGAGUGUGAGAGUGGAAAGUUCACGCUGUGACGGUAUCUAACCAGAAAGGGACGGCUAACUACGUG